AUUGAACGCUGGCGGCAGGCCUAACACAUGCAAGUCGAACGGUAACAGGAAACAGCUUGCUGUUUCGCUGACGAGUGGCGGACGGGUGAGUCAUGUCUGGGAAACUGCCUGAUGGAGGGGGAUAACUACUGGAAACGGUAGCUAAUACCGCAUAACGUCGCAAGACCAAAGAGGGGGACCCUCGGGCCUCUUGCCAUCGGAUGUGCCCAGAUGGGAUUAGCUUGUUGGUGGGGUAACGGCUCACCAAGGCGACGAUCCCUAGCUGGUCUGAGAGGAUGACCAGCCACACGGGAACUGAGACACGGUCCAGACUCCUACGGGAGGCAGCAGUGGGGAAUAUUGAACAAUGGGCGCAAGCCUGAUGCAGCCAUGCCGCGUGUAUGAAGAAGGCCUUCGGGUUGUAAAGUACUUUCAGCGGGGAGGAAGGGAGUAAAGUUAAUACCUGUGAUCAUUGACGUUACCCGCAGAAGAAGCACCGGCUAACUCCGU
Molecule: ribosomal RNA, 489 nt
Filed under: uncultured bacterium
Lineage: Bacteria
Description: partial 16S ribosomal RNA
Rfam family: Bacterial small subunit ribosomal RNA
Source: RNAcentral